CCUACGGGAGGCAGCAGUGGGGAAUAUUGGGCAAUGGGCGCAAGCCUGACCCAGCAACGCCGCGUGAAGGAAGAAGGCUUUCGGGUUGUAAACUUCUUUUCUCAGGGACGAAGAAAGUGACGGUACCUGAGGAAUAAGCCACGGCUAACUACGUGCCAGCAGCCGCGGUAAUACGUAGGUGGCAAGCGUUAUCCGGAUUUAUUGGGUGUAAAGGGCGUGUAGGCGGGAGCGCAAGUCAGAUGUGAAAACGCAGGGCUCAACCCUGGGCCUGCAUUUGAAACUGUGUUUCUUGAGUGCUGGGGAGGCAAUCGGAAUUCCGUGGGUAGCGGUGAAAUGCGUAGAUAAACGGAGGAACACCAGUGGCGAAGGCGGAUUGCUGGACAGUAACUGACGCUGAGGCGCGAAAGCGGGGGGAGCAAACAGGAUUAGAUACCCUAGGAGGC
This 443-nucleotide ribosomal RNA is filed under the name uncultured bacterium. Its description in RNAcentral is "partial 16S ribosomal RNA". It matches the Rfam family "Bacterial small subunit ribosomal RNA", at positions 338 to 795 of the family's 1533-position model. The record is from RNAcentral.